RNAcentral lists this transfer RNA (67 nucleotides) under Isodiametra pulchra. RNAcentral describes it as "tRNA-Thr". Lineage: Eukaryota; Metazoa; Xenacoelomorpha; Acoela; Isodiametridae. The record is from RNAcentral.
GCUUCAUUAGUUUAAAUUUCCAAACAAAGAAGUUGUAAUUCUUAGAUACCUGUGAUGGUAUGAAGCU